Molecule: long non-coding RNA, 682 nt
Organism: Hemibagrus wyckioides
Lineage: Eukaryota; Metazoa; Chordata; Actinopteri; Siluriformes; Bagridae
Exons: 3
Source: RefSeq, a predicted model, not a curated record
CUGUUUUUAAUCACACCAGGGUGGAAAGAAAUGACCUAGCCAUAGUUACAGAUGGAGCUGCUUUAUGGUGUUUAUAGUACUGCUUAUAAAAGGAAGGGCUGAUGGGAAAAGAUCGUGUUUACGCUACGGUGUGCUAAAUAACACCAUCAUACUUCCAGAAUAGAGUAUGGAGGCCAUCUUGGAGAUGCUCCAGGAAGGACGAGAAAUCAGUGCUCCAGAAACACAACAGAGAGAUGAUCAGAGUUUCUAACAUGUUGCUUGGACUUUCAUGGGUGCUGAUGUGUGAGCAGGACACACCAACAAUCUUCAGCAUCAGUUCACUAUCAGCUACGCUUUCUGCAAUCUUAACACCAAAAGCUGUCGUGUGGUCACCUGUUAAACCUGUCCCUCCUGUGGGCUCCACUCUAACACUUCACUUCUUUUUGCAGUGUGCAGUACCUCCGUGUGACACCAGGUGGCACCAGAUAAACACUUUACAGCAGAUCCUAAAGUCUGAGGCUACAGAAGGUUCUAGAAGGAGAAAGACCUCCAGUAUGUGACUGAUAAUGACCCUUUUCUGGCCCUGACUGCCUAACCUUCAGAGUAUUUAUUUGUUUAUAAACUGUUUAUAUAUCUUUUCCACAUUUAAGUAAAAAAAAAAAUAUAUAUUACAGAGACAGACUUCCUUCAUUUAUUCCAGUCA